This 111-nucleotide unclassified non-coding RNA is filed under the name uncultured Archaeorhizomyces. RNAcentral describes it as "sequence contains ITS1". Lineage: Eukaryota; Fungi; Ascomycota; Archaeorhizomycetes; Archaeorhizomycetales; Archaeorhizomycetaceae. The record is from RNAcentral.
CUGAAUGGCUUUGGCCUUCAACCUUCAAACCUGUGGAAGCAAACCGUGCUUCGGGGUUUUGACCCCGCAUCUAUGCAGUAAAGCGUUUGUCUGAAUCAAAAGCAAGAAUUA